UCNNNNNNNNNNNNNNNNNNNNGACGAAAAAUGAAUACCAAGUCUCAAGAGUGAACACGUAAUUCAUUACGAAGUUUAAUUCAUUGAGCAUCAAACUUUUAAAUUGAAGAGUUUGAUCAUGGCUCAGAUUGAACGCUGGCGGCAGGCCUAACACAUGCAAGUCGAACGGUAACAGGAAGCAGCUUGCUGCUUUGCUGACGAGUGGCGGACGGGUGAGUAAUGUCUGGGAAACUGCCUGAUGGAGGGGGAUAACUACUGGAAACGGUGGCUAAUACCGCAUAACGUCGCAAGACCAAAGAGGGGGACCUUCGGGCCUCUUGCCAUCAGAUGUGCCCAGAUGGGAUUAGCUUGUUGGUGAGGUAACGGCUCACCAAGGCGACGAUCCCUAGCUGGUCUGAGAGGAUGACCAGCCACACUGGAACUGAGACACGGUCCAGACUCCUACGGGAGGCAGCAGUGGGGAAUAUUGCACAAUGGGCGCAAGCCUGAUGCAGCCAUGCCGCGUGUAUGAAGAAGGCCUUCGGGUUGUAAAGUACUUUCAGCGGGGAGGAAGGUGUUGUGGUUAAUAACCGCAGCAAUUGACGUUACCCGCAGAAGAAGCACCGGCUAACUCCGUGCCAGCAGCCGCGGUAAUACGGAGGGUGCAAGCGUUAAUCGGAAUUACUGGGCGUAAAGCGCACGCAGGCGGUCUGUCAAGUCGGAUGUGAAAUCCCCGGGCUCAACCUGGGAACUGCAUUCGAAACUGGCAGGCUUGAGNNNNNNNNNNNNNNNNNNNNGAAUUCCAGGUGUAGCGGUGAAAUGCGUAGAGAUCUGGAGGAAUACCGGUGGCGAAGGCGGCCCCCUGGACAAAGACUGACGCUCAGGUGCGAAAGCGUGGGGAGCAAACAGGAUUAGAUACCCUGGUAGUCCACGCCGUAAACGAUGUCUACUUGGAGGUUGUGCCCUUGAGGCGUGGCUUCCGGAGCUAACGCGUUAAGUAGACCGCCUGGGGAGUACGGCCGCAAGGUUAAAACUCAAAUGAAUUGACGGGGGCCCGCACAAGCGGUGGAGCAUGUGGUUUAAUUCGAUGCAACGCGAAGAACCUUACCUGGUCUUGACAUCCACGGAAGUUUUCAGAGAUGAGAAUGUGCCUUCGGGAACCGUGAGACAGGUGCUGCAUGGCUGUCGUCAGCUCGUGUUGUGAAAUGUUGGGUUAAGUCCCGCAACGAGCGCAACCCUUAUCCUUUGUUGCCAGCGGUCCGGCCGGGAACUCAAAGGAGACUGCCAGUGAUAAACUGGAGGAAGGUGGGGAUGACGUCAAGUCAUCAUGGCCCUUACGACCAGGGCUACACACGUGCUACAAUGGCGCAUACAAAGAGAAGCGACCUCGCGAGAGCAAGCGGACCUCAUAAAGUGCGUCGUAGUCCGGAUUGGAGUCUGCAACUCGACUCCAUGAAGUCGGAAUCGCUAGUAAUCGUGGAUCAGAAUGCCACGGUGAAUACGUUCCCGGGCCUUGUACACACCGCCCGUCACACCAUGGGAGUGGGUUGCAAAAGAAGUAGGUAGCUUAACCUUCGGGAGGGCGCUUACCACUUUGUGAUUCAUGACUGGGGUGAAGUCGUAACAAGGUAACCGUAGGGGAACCUGCGGUUGGAUCACCUCCUUACCUUAAAGAAGCGUACUUUGCAGUGCUCACACAGAUUGUCUGAUGAAAA
This 1694-nucleotide ribosomal RNA is filed under the name Salmonella enterica subsp. enterica serovar Paratyphi A. Its description in RNAcentral is "bacterial SSU rRNA". It matches the Rfam family "Bacterial small subunit ribosomal RNA". Lineage: Bacteria; Pseudomonadati; Pseudomonadota; Gammaproteobacteria; Enterobacterales; Enterobacteriaceae. The record is from RNAcentral.